This is a long non-coding RNA of Photinus pyralis (common eastern firefly), 1246 nucleotides long. RefSeq lists it as uncharacterized. Lineage: Eukaryota; Metazoa; Arthropoda; Insecta; Coleoptera; Lampyridae. The record is from RefSeq and is a predicted model, not a curated record. The transcript is spliced from 2 exons.
AUGGGUCAAUACUCGCUUACCUAAUUCCUCAACUAGCCUUAGCAUUACACCCCCAACAUGUAAAUCUCCUUUAACCCGAAGUACACGUUCCGUUUGUAAGUCGGUAACGUACACUCGUAAGUUCCACGAUCCAUCACCAAUUAAUUGUCCGUUCGAUAUCAUUUUGUGCGAUUUUUCCGGUUAACAAACGGCACCACAAAUUAGCAUACACGCCCACUUUAAACAUUCAUGGUAAUCUUCAAACACAGAUCAUUUUAAUAACACUCGUACGUAUCCAGUCACUAAUUACGAAUCACAGUAGUAUUAUUGUGCAUUAGUUUAUCAAAAUAUGUAAAAAAAUAAGUUAAACUCUUAAAUAGUGUUCCUAAGUUAACGUUAAAUAUAACAUUUCUAUUUAUAAAUCAACAAAACUGGGAAUGACUGCGGAGGCUACGUAGUAGGUGCAUGUUACGUGUAUCGCCCACCACCGCUUAUGAAAUUAUCAGCCGAAUGUAACCGAUUCCUCCUAUUUUCUGAAAAUCCUUUUACAUUUCAUAAUUCCUAAAACUUUCCGAAAUUAAUGACAAUCAUUAAUCAUUAUUAAUGCGGUAUCAAGAUGUUACGCCAAUUCCUGCACCCAGUCACAUAAAGAGCAAAAAAAAUGGACAGGGACGGAGUCCGCGGAUAUGUGACUUGGGGGGCCUUGGCAACUUAGUCAUUGGUGAUUGUCGAAUCAAUGUAGGUUACAAUCACCGACCGUGGUUAAAAUCCUUGACAGUCGAAGGAGAAAAACAAAUAUCCUAGCGAUUGAUGCGGUGUAAAAUAAGUUGCCUACCUAUAGGUACAAAGACUUCAACACAUGGUGUAUAAUUAGGCUAUACACCGUGUCCAACAUGUAACGUAAAUUUAAUUAUCUAAUUUAUUUAAUUGUUUAUUUGUAUAAAAUUAACUAUUAAUGUCCACCGUAACUAAUGAGUAAUCAGUAAUGAUAGGUUUAUACCAUCAUAAUUACCUCACUAUUAUUGUAUAAUUAAGAAAUAGCCAAUAGAAACGAAGGUAUGGUUUCGUUGGUUAGUUAUGCACAAUAAUCCUUUGUUUUUAUUUGCAAUUUCUUAAUGACCUAAUGAUAAUGAUUUAUAACAAUUCAAGAUACAAUAUACAAAAAUGAUGAAAAAAAAAAAACUAAAGCUACACUUUAACUCAGGGCUGUAUGCUUAGUGCAUAGAGAAUCCCUUUCCCUAUUAAAUUUCUUUUUGAUGUUAAAAAA